UAGGGAAUAUUAGAAAUGGACGAAAGUCUGAUCUAGCAACACCGCGUGUGCGAAGAAGGCCUUCGGGUUGUAAAACACUUUUUGGAAGGAUUAGGAAGGAAUGUACUUCCAGAAUAAGUCUCGGCUAACUACGUGCCAGCAGCCGCGGUAACACGUAGGAGGCAAACGUUAUCCGGAUUUACUGGGCGUAAAGCGCGUGUAGGUGGUUCUGUAAGUAGGGCGUGAAAGCUCCUGGCUCAACUGGGAGAGGCCGUUCUAAACUGCAGAACUAGAGGAUGGUAGAGGGAGGUGGAAUUUCAGGUGUAGCGGUGGAAUGCGCAGAUAUCUGAAGGAACACCAGUGGCGAAAGCGGCCUCCUGGACCAUUCCUGACACUCAGACGCGAAAGCUAGGGUAGCAAACG
This 402-nucleotide ribosomal RNA is filed under the name uncultured prokaryote. Its description in RNAcentral is "bacterial SSU rRNA". It matches the Rfam family "Bacterial small subunit ribosomal RNA", at positions 355 to 774 of the family's 1533-position model. The record is from RNAcentral.